This 271-nucleotide ribosomal RNA is filed under the name uncultured archaeon. RNAcentral's name for it is "partial 16S ribosomal RNA". It matches the Rfam family "Archaeal small subunit ribosomal RNA", at positions 477 to 747 of the family's 1478-position model. The record is from RNAcentral.
CGGCAGCCCGAGUGGUGAUCACUAUUAUUGGGUCUAAAGGGUCCGUAGCCGGUUUGAUCAGUCUUUUGGGAAAUCUGACAGCUUAACUGUUAGGCUUCCAAAGGAUACUGUCAGACUUGGGACCGGGAGAGGUAAGAGGUACUACAGGGGUAGGAGUGAAAUCUUGCAAUCCCUGUGGGACCACCAGUGGCGAAGGCGUCUUACCAGAACGGGUCCGACGGUGAGGGACGAAAGCUGGGGGCACGAACCGGAUUAGAUACCCGAGUAGUCC